This 1312-nucleotide ribosomal RNA is filed under the name Staphylococcus aureus. Its description in RNAcentral is "bacterial SSU rRNA". It matches the Rfam family "Bacterial small subunit ribosomal RNA", at positions 14 to 1307 of the family's 1533-position model. Lineage: Bacteria; Bacillati; Bacillota; Bacilli; Caryophanales; Staphylococcaceae. The record is from RNAcentral.
UGAUCCUGGCUCAGGAUGAACGCUGGCGGCGUGCCUAAUACAUGCAAGUCGAGCGAACGGACGAGAAGCUUGCUUCUCUGAUGUUAGCGGCGGACGGGUGAGUAACACGUGGAUAACCUACCUAUAAGACUGGGAUAACUUCGGGAAACCGGAGCUAAUACCGGAUAAUAUUUUGAACCGCAUGGUUCAAAAGUGAAAGACGGUCUUGCUGUCACUUAUAGAUGGAUCCGCGCUGCAUUAGCUAGUUGGUAAGGUAACGGCUUACCAAGGCAACGAUGCAUAGCCGACCUGAGAGGGUGAUCGGCCACACUGGAACUGAGACACGGUCCAGACUCCUACGGGAGGCAGCAGUAGGGAAUCUUCCGCAAUGGGCGAAAGCCUGACGGAGCAACGCCGCGUGAGUGAUGAAGGUCUUCGGAUCGUAAAACUCUGUUAUUAGGGAAGAACAUAUGUGUAAGUAACUGUGCACAUCUUGACGGUACCUAAUCAGAAAGCCACGGCUAACUACGUGCCAGCAGCCGCGGUAAUACGUAGGUGGCAAGCGUUAUCCGGAAUUAUUGGGCGUAAAGCGCGCGUAGGCGGUUUUUUAAGUCUGAUGUGAAAGCCCACGGCUCAACCGUGGAGGGUCAUUGGAAACUGGAAAACUUGAGUGCAGAAGAGGAAAGUGGAAUUCCAUGUGUAGCGGUGAAAUGCGCAGAGAUAUGGAGGAACACCAGUGGCGAAGGCGACUUUCUGGUCUGUAACUGACGCUGAUGUGCGAAAGCGUGGGGAUCAAACAGGAUUAGAUACCCUGGUAGUCCACGCCGUAAACGAUGAGUGCUAAGUGUUAGGGGGUUUCCGCCCCUUAGUGCUGCAGCUAACGCAUUAAGCACUCCGCCUGGGGAGUACGACCGCAAGGUUGAAACUCAAAGGAAUUGACGGGGACCCGCACAAGCGGUGGAGCAUGUGGUUUAAUUCGAAGCAACGCGAAGAACCUUACCAAAUCUUGACAUCCUUUGACAACUCUAGAGAUAGAGCUUUCCCCUUCGGGGGACAAAGUGACAGGUGGUGCAUGGUUGUCGUCAGCUCGUGUCGUGAGAUGUUGGGUUAAGUCCCGCAACGAGCGCAACCCUUAAGCUUAGUUGCCAUCAUUAAGUUGGGCACUCUAAGUUGACUGCCGGUGACAAACCGGAGGAAGGUGGGGAUGACGUCAAAUCAUCAUGCCCCUUAUGAUUUGGGCUACACACGUGCUACAAUGGACAAUACAAAGGGCAGCGAAACCGCGAGGUCAAGCAAAUCCCAUAAAGUUGUUCUCAGUUCGGAUUGUAGUCUG